Molecule: ribosomal RNA, 228 nt
Filed under: Septoglomus constrictum
Lineage: Eukaryota; Fungi; Glomeromycota; Glomeromycetes; Glomerales; Glomeraceae
Description: partial 18S ribosomal RNA
Rfam family: Eukaryotic small subunit ribosomal RNA
Source: RNAcentral
GGCAAGUCUGGUGCCAGCAGCCGCGGUAAUUCCAGCUCCGAUAGCGUAUAUUAAAGUUGUUGCAGUUAAAAAGCUCGUAGUUGAAUUUCGGGAUCAAGGAAUCGGUCAUGCUUAGGUAUGUACUGGUUUUAUUGGUUCUCACCUUCUAAAGAACCAUAAUGUCAUUCAUUUGAUGUUAUGGGGAAUUAGGACUGUUACCUUGAAAAAAUUAGAGUGUUUAAAGCAGGC